GGGAAGCACUCCACAACCUCACCCAGGUCCUGUAUCCCUGCAAGACUGCAUUGGAAAGACUGAAGAGGCUGGAGUGCAGUGGCGCAAUUUUGGCUCACAGGAACCUCUGUCUCCCAGAUUCAAGAGAUUCUCAUGCCUCAGCCUCGCGAGUAGCUGGGAUUACAGGAAGCUAAAGAAUGAUGCGCUCCACCACAAUGAGGGACUAAACAACAAAAAGGAGGCGUGAGACUCAGGAAGCAAAAAAGGAGUUCAUCAUAUGAAGGAAUGAAGAUGGUCAAAAGAAAAACUUCAACCUCAUGCCAGAAGAUGUUCCAAGCUGUAUAAAUGCCUAACUCAGCUUCUAGUCCUUGGAAAUUAAGCAGCUCAUUGAAAAUUCAAGAGUUCCAGCCAGAAGCUACAGCUAGGCUCAGACGUUGAAAUCAGUCUCUCCUGCUGAUCAGACUGUGACAUAGCCAAAGCAAUAGGCCUGGCUUUUCAGUUAAUUCUCAGCGAGCCCUUCCUUUCCCUCUGUAGUGGUUGGUGUGGCAUUUAAAAUGUAACUCCUUUAUGUACACUGUAA
This 559-nucleotide long non-coding RNA is filed under the name Pongo abelii (Sumatran orangutan). Its description in RNAcentral is "lincRNA". The record is from RNAcentral. Lineage: Eukaryota; Metazoa; Chordata; Mammalia; Primates; Hominidae.